Small nuclear RNA from Suncus etruscus (white-toothed pygmy shrew), 163 nucleotides. RefSeq annotates it as U1 spliceosomal RNA. The transcript has a single exon. Lineage: Eukaryota; Metazoa; Chordata; Mammalia; Eulipotyphla; Soricidae. The record is from RefSeq and is a predicted model, not a curated record.
AUAAUACCUGGCAGGGGAGAUACCAUGAUUGUGAAGGUGGUUUUCCCAGGGUGAGGCUUAUCCAUUGCAAUUCGGAUGUACUGACUCUUGCAAUUUCCCCAAAUGUGGGAAACUCGACUGAAUAAUUUGUGGUAAUGGGGGACUGCGUUCACACUCUUCCCUG